AGUUCAAAGCGAUAGGCCUGUAAAGGUUUUGUCGUUCCUUGAAGACAGUCCAUCAAAACUAUUAAGGUGUUAAGCGUAUCCCUGGUUUAGAGCUCAGUUUUGCUCUGUGGCUAAAUCAGAAUUCCAUAAAGUGAUCCCAUAUUCUGUCCCGGCACGUAAGUGAGAAAUAAGACCAGGCGCGUUCUUUACCUUUUUAAUCGAGUAUAGUUUGGCUCUGCUUUGUAUUUUGCUAGAGUAAAGCGCCAUGUAGUCCUAUCAUUACUUGUUCCCUCAAGUGGCCGGAAAUCAUUUGGGUGAACGUAGAUUUUUGUCAAGAACCAUGUCUAACGAAGAGGUGAUUGGGAGUACGCAAGCCGCACUCAGUAGAACAUAAACGAUGUAUGCUUGAGAGAAAAAAAAUAAAUAAAUAAAAAAUAAAAUUGAAGUUUAAAAAGUUAGUGCUGAUAACAGAGGUUAUGAAUCAUGUCAUCCCCACGGCGGCCUCAUGAGAGUAUAUAACAUAACAGGUGGCGCUGAGCACACCACGCCAUCAUGAUGAACCACGCUAAAGUAUUCAAGAAGACAGCCCCGAAUGGGAAGCUGACCGUGUACGUGGAGCGCCGGGAGCUUUGCAUCAAGGAGGAUGGCAUCCAGGCCCUUCACGGCGUCCUCUUCGUCGACGCCAACUAUGUCAAGGACAGGAAGGUCUUCGGCCAGUUCGUCCUGACCUUCCGGUACGGCAGGGAAGACGAGGAGGCGGUGAUGGGACUGAGAUUCUGCAACGAAGCGUGUCUGCAGGCGGAGCAGCUGUGGCCGAGACAGAACCCUGACGAACCUUACAAGAACCUUACGCCUCUCCAGGAUACGCUGGUAAAGAGGUUGGGCGCAGGAGCUGUCCCCUUCUCCUUCACCGUGUCUUCCCUGGCGCCUCCUUCCGUGACGCUGCUACCGGCCAGAUCCUACGCAGGAGCUCCCAUCGGAACCAAUUACGACCUGAGAGUCUUUGUCGGCGAGAACCCCGAGGACAAACCCCACAAGCGUUCCUCCAUCCGCAUGGGCAUGAAGCUGUACCAGUGCGCCCCCUCGACCGACAGGAGCCAACCAUACGCUGCCUUCUCCAAGCAGCUCCUCCUCGCGGACGGGCAGGUCGAGGUGGAGGCGACGCUGGACAAGGAGGUGUACGAGCGAGGCGAGAGCAUCAACAUCAACGUCUCCAUUACCAAUCACUCGUCGAGAAACGUUAGGAGGAUCAAGAUUCUCGCCGUGCAAUACGUGGACGUAGCGAUGUUCAGCAACGGCAAGUUCAAGAACGUGGUGGCCGUGAUCGACACAACGGAGGGCUGCCCCGUCAGCUCCGGCUCGAGCCUCAAGCGCCAGUUCCAGCUGACGCCCGCGCGAGGAGCCAUCAAGAACUGGAUCGCCCUCGAGGAGUUCUACGAUCGAGAGAGCGCCCUGGCGUCGACGGUGGCGCGGGUCGACCCUCAGGAGAAGAACGUCUUCGCGAUAUACGUCAAUUAUUACGUUAAGGUCAAACUCUACACCUGUGUCAGAAGCGCCAAAGUCAAGCUGUUUACGAGUGCCAUUGGCGGUGAGGUCAGCGUAAAGGUGCCCUUCAAACUGAUGCGACUGCAGCCUGUUGAUACCGACACUCCUACCAACGCCCUACCUGAGAUUAAGAACUCGAACUCUUCCACGUGUUGACGAGUCACCCAUGCAAAGCUUCCUUCUCCAGCAUGCCAAAAAAUUACUCAGCGCCAACCAAUGGGGCCGCGAUCACUACCUCCCAGUCCAUGUUUGACCUGACCUCGACUGACCAUCGUCGCGGCAGCACGAAGGCACGGAGGUCCCCGCCCUCUAGGUCGACCAGCGAGGACUCCGUGAGGUGUUCCG
This 1869-nucleotide unclassified non-coding RNA is filed under the name Penaeus japonicus. RNAcentral's name for it is "arrestin homolog, transcript variant X5". The record is from RNAcentral. Lineage: Eukaryota; Metazoa; Arthropoda; Malacostraca; Decapoda; Penaeidae.